Molecule: ribosomal RNA, 464 nt
Filed under: uncultured bacterium
Lineage: Bacteria
Description: bacterial SSU rRNA
Rfam family: Bacterial small subunit ribosomal RNA
Source: RNAcentral
GAUGAACGCUGGCGGCGUGCCUAACACAUGCAAGUCGAACGCUCGCAAGAGAGUGGCGCACGGGUGAGUAACACGUAGCUAAUCUGCCCUCAAGACAAGGAUAACUGUAGGAAACUACUGCUAAUACUUGAUAAGCUUACGGACUGUAGAGGUCUAUAAGAAAAGAUUUAUCGCUUGAGGAUGAGGCUGCGCGCCAUCAGCUAGUUGGUGAGGUAAUGGCUCACCAAGGCGACGACGGCUAGGGGGACCUGAGAGGGUGACCCCCCCACACUGGGACUGAGACACGGCCCAGACUCCUACGGGAGGCAGCAGUGAGGAAUAUUGCACAAUGGGCGCAAGCCUGAUGCAGCGACGCCGCGUGGAUGAAGAAGGUUUUCGGACUGUAAAAUCCUUUCUGUGUGACGAGAGUGGACGGUAGCACAGGAAUAAGUCUCGGCUAACUACGUGCCAGCAGCCGCGGUAAU